Molecule: ribosomal RNA, 253 nt
Filed under: uncultured bacterium
Lineage: Bacteria
Description: partial 16S ribosomal RNA
Rfam family: Bacterial small subunit ribosomal RNA
Source: RNAcentral
UACGAAGGUCCCGAGCGUUGUUCGGAAUCACUGGGCGUAAAGGGAGCGUAGGCGGCGUGGUAAGUCAGAUGUGAAAUCCCGGGGCUCAACCCCGGAACUGCAUCCGAUACUGCCAUGCUAGAGGAUUGGAGAGGUAGCUGGAAUUCACGGUGUAGCAGUGAAAUGCGUAGAUAUCGUGAGGAACACUCGUGGCGAAAGCGAGCUACUGGACAAUUCCUGACGCUGAGGCUCGAAGGCUAGGGUAGCGAACAGG